Caretta caretta (loggerhead turtle) is the source of this 1517-nucleotide long non-coding RNA. RefSeq lists it as uncharacterized. The record is from RefSeq and is a predicted model, not a curated record. NCBI's taxonomy places the organism in Eukaryota, Metazoa, Chordata, Testudines, Cheloniidae.
GCGCUGGCCUCAUGCGGGGCGGGAGGAGCCGCUCGUUGGGAGUACGCGUUUGGGUAGCCGGAGCCUCGCUCUCACGCCAACGGUUUAUCCCAAGUGGGGCCUGCCUGAGCUCAUUUACAUAUUCCUACGUAACCCUGAACUCCCGUGCCCCGGCCGUCGCGCGGGGCUGAGCCUCCCCGCCGCCGUCGCGCCCCAGCUGGGCUCGGGCAGGCUCCAGGAGCCGGCGUGUCACUGCCCUGCUGGCGCAGCCUGACUCGCAGUGCAAAACGCAGUGAGGCGCUUGGGCUGUGCCAGUGUCUGCUGGGUCAUCUCAUGCAGCCGCCGCCCCUGGAGACUGGUCUGUGGCUUUGACAGUGGCUUUGGUGGUGUAAAAGGCGCAGCCCAUGCCUCAAAGAAAUUGCUAAAGAAAACAGCUCAGCGGCCUGGGAGGAAGAACUAGGAAUUCUGUGUGUGUCAGCUGCUGUUUUCCACAGUAUGCAUCCGAUGAAGUGAGCGGUAGCUCAGGAAAGCUCAUGCUCAAAUAAAUUGGUUAGUCUCUAAGGUGCCACAAAUACUUGUUUUCUGCUGGGCACCAGAGAAGUGCGUUGCCAGGCCCAUUCCCGAGAAGGGCCGCCAGCAGUUUCCUUGUAGAAACUUCCUGAUUUUGCAAGUUUGAAAAGAUGAGUGAGAAUAGCCAGAGGGUAUCGCUCUGAAUUUUGGUGCAAGAAUGAGUUACAUUGGGUAUAACACACCUGCUUAACUGGAUACACAGGCACUCAUCACUGUAAUGUCUGAGUGCUUCCCACACAUUAAUGAAUUUAUCUCCAUAUCGCCACUGCAAGAUAAGAGUAUUAUCUUCAUUUUAUAGAUGGGAAAAACAGACAAAGACUUCUCUGCAGGAACACAGUGAAUCAGGGGCAGAGCUAGGAUUAGAGCUCAGCACCACAAGAUUCCCAAGCCUGUGCCCACAUCUCCAUACCAAGCUCUCUUGUACUAUGAUGUCACUGACAAAAAGCUUGACACUGUGGGUUCCAAAUCCUGGACCCCAAACCAAGCUUCGCAGCCUGACUUGGCCUACGGGAGAGAGGAGCAUAGGACCCUCAGCGAAGAUCUACUGGAACCAGGAUUGCAGAUAAAGGAGUCGCUGGAAUCAGGAUAUAGGAACAGCAAGGAAGGAAGGAGAGAAAGAAAAGCAUAAAAAGUGAAGUUGAGGGAACAGUGACAAGAAAAAAAAAUCUUGAUUGCCUCAGAAGGAGGAAAAAAAAAAAAAGAUCACUGGUCUAUUACAGGAAUGCUGUGUAUUAUGAAAGCACCAGUCUUGGGUCCAUUUUUAAGGCCGAGUUCUGCACUUAAAUAAAGUAUUCUAAUACUAUGGUGAUAAUGAUGGUAUAAAAACACAGCUGGAUAGUGUUUAUAGGUUCUUAAGAAGAAAUAAUAUCUGAAUCAUAGCUUUUCUUCUCACUAGGCUUGGGAGGAUUAGAUCAUCAGUAAGUGACAGUAGAUGUUCAUUUCACCAGACACAUUAACAAAAAUUUACA